AACGCACCUUGCGCUCCCUGGUAUUCCGAGGAGCAUGUCUGUUUGAGUGUUAUGAAAUCUUCAACCCACCUGUUUCUUGUUAAACAGUCUGGUGCUUUGGAUCAUGGGCGUCUUUUGCUGGUCCCCAAGCCGGGGUUGGCUCGCCUGGAAUGCAUGAGCAGCAUCGUCCCUCGACAUCUGGCUUGACUUGGCGUGAUAGGUUAUUUCGCUGGGGACAACACUUCGGGUGUUGGCCGAGUCGUGGGAAGAGGGCUUCCAAUGAAAUGUACUCUAAAUAUUUGACCUCAAAUCAGAUAGGACUACCCGCUGAACUUAA
Molecule: unclassified non-coding RNA, 316 nt
Filed under: uncultured fungus
Lineage: Eukaryota; Fungi
Description: sequence contains ITS2
Source: RNAcentral